Molecule: ribosomal RNA, 744 nt
Filed under: uncultured bacterium
Lineage: Bacteria
Description: bacterial SSU rRNA
Rfam family: Bacterial small subunit ribosomal RNA
Source: RNAcentral
AGAGUUUGAUCCUGGCUCAGAGCGAACGCUGGCGGCAGGCUUAACACAUGCAAGUCGAGCGGGCGUAGCAAUACGUCAGCGGCAGACGGGUGAGUAACGCGUGGGAACAUACCUUUUGGUUCGGAACAACACAGGGAAACUUGUGCUAAUACCGGAUAAGCCCUUACGGGGAAAGAUUUAUCGCCGAAAGAUUGGCCCGCGUCUGAUUAGCUAGUUGGCGAGGUAACGGCUCACCAAGGCGACGAUCAGUAGCUGGUCUGAGAGGAUGAUCAGCCACAUUGGGACUGAGACACGGCCCAAACUCCUACGGGAGGCAGCAGUGGGGAAUAUUGGACAAUGGGCGCAAGCCUGAUCCAGCCAUGCCGCGUGAGUGAUGAAGGCCCUAGGGUUGUAAAGCUCUUUUGUGCGGGAAGAUAAUGACGGUACCGCAAGAAUAAGCCCCGGCUAACUUCGUGCCAGCAGCCGCGGUAAUACGAAGGGGGCUAGCGUUGCUCGGAAUCACUGGGCGUAAAGGGUGCGUAGGCGGGUCUUUAAGUCAGGGGUGAAAUCCUGGAGCUCAACUCCAGAACUGCCUUUGAUACUGAAGAUCUUGAGUUCGGGAGAGGUGAGUGGAACUGCGAGUGUAGAGGUGAAAUUCGUAGAUAUUCGCAAGAACACCAGUGGCGAAGGCGGCUCACUGGCCCGAUACUGACGCUGAGGCACGAAAGCGUGGGGAGCAAACAGGAUUAGAUACCCCCGUAGUCC